GCGGCCGCUCUGUUUGUUCCUGCCAGAGGUUACUGCUAUUGAGGUUCGACUAAGCCAUGCGAGUCGAAUGUAGCAAUACAUGGCGUACUGCUCAGUAACACGUGGACAACCUACCCUUAGGUCGGGGAUAAACCCGGGAAACUGGGUAUAAUACCCGAUAGAUCCCGAGUGCUGGAAUGCAUCGAGAUCGAAAGCUCCGGCGCCUAAGGAUGGGUCUGCGGCCUAUCAGGUAGUAGUGGGUGUAGCGUACCUACUAGCCUACGACGGGUACGGGUUGUGAGAGCAAGAGCCCGGAGAUGGGUUGCUGAGACACGAAUCCAGGGCCUACGGGGUGCAGCAGGCGCGAAAACUUUACAAUGCUGGAAACAGCGAUAAGGGGACCUCGAGUGCCAGGUCACAAAUCUGGCUGUCGUGAUGCCUAAAAAGCAUUGCAUAGCAAGGGCCGGGCAAGACCGGUGCCAGCCGCCGCGGUAACACCGGCGGCUCGAGAGGUAACCGUUAUUAUUGGGUCUAGAGGGUCUGUAACCGGCCGGAUAAGUCUCUUGGGAAAUCCAGCAGCUCAACUGUUGGGCUUUCAGGAGAUACUGUCUGGCUCGAGGCCGGGAGGGGUGAGAGGUACUUCAGGGGUAGGGGUGAAAACUUGUAAUCCUUGAAGGACCACCAGUGGCGAAGGCGUCUCACCAGAACGGACCUGACGGCAAGGGACGAAAGCUAGGGGCACGAACCGGAUUAGAUACCCGGGUAGUCCUAGCCGUAAACGAUACUCGCUAGGUGUCGGCCACGCGUGCGACCGUUGACGGUGCCGUAGGGAAGCCGUGAAGCGAGCCACCCGGGAAGUACGGCCGCAAGGCUGAAACUUAAAGGAAUUGGCGGGGGAGCACCACAACGGGUGGAGCUUGCGGUUUAAUUGGAUUCAACGCCGGAAAUCUUACCGGGACCGACAGCAAUAUGAAGGCCAGGCUGAAGACUUUUGCCGGGAUUAGCUGAGAGGUGGUGCAUGGCCGUCGUCAGUUCGUACUGUGAAGCAUCCUGUUAAGUCAGGCAACGAGCGAGACCC
Molecule: ribosomal RNA, 1057 nt
Filed under: uncultured archaeon
Lineage: Archaea
Description: bacterial SSU rRNA
Rfam family: Archaeal small subunit ribosomal RNA
Source: RNAcentral